Molecule: long non-coding RNA, 210 nt
Organism: Haliotis rubra (blacklip abalone)
Lineage: Eukaryota; Metazoa; Mollusca; Gastropoda; Lepetellida; Haliotidae
Exons: 3
Source: RefSeq, a predicted model, not a curated record
ACAAAGACACAGAAAAAGUAUUGCUGAACCAUCUUUGCACCAUUGGUGGCAUUAGCAGUGAGGAUACGGUGCAAAGAAUGAUGGUCACUGUAUUCAAAUACCACCUGGCAUGUUCCUUUAAUUGGAAGGGAAGAGGUGGGAAACAUGCAUUCUGUGCAUUAGCCCUGUGUCGAGCAAUAAAAGCGGCUUGCAAAAAACGUGGAUAUCAGA